RNAcentral lists this long non-coding RNA (4185 nucleotides) under Brassica napus (rape). Its description in RNAcentral is "long non-coding RNA (BNAP_LNC019650)". The record is from RNAcentral. Lineage: Eukaryota; Viridiplantae; Streptophyta; Magnoliopsida; Brassicales; Brassicaceae.
UGGGGUUUUGAUAAAAUAAGUGAUACAAAAUAAUGUUUGAUUGCUGAAAAAAUAUUUUAUAGUUUUGCUAAAUAAAUAUUAAAAAUAUGUGAAACAAAUUUUUGAUUCCUACUCUCGGGUUCUAGAGAUAUAAGAUUUGUUCUCGUAAUUGGUAGAACCCAAAUCUUAAUCGAUCCUAGAAAAGAAGUUUAAUUUGGUUUGGUUCUCCGGUUCCGUAUAAAUGUACACAUGCCUAUAUAUUCUUAUAUUUAAUAAAGGAAAAUUGCCAAAAAUAUCAUUUUCAAAAUACCACUUUUCAUGUUUGCACUAAUUACUUUUACCUUUAUCUUUAAUGAAGGGUAAAAAAUAUUUAUAACGUUUUGAUUAACUUUGACAAAAAAAAAUUAACUAAUUUAAACUUAAAUCAUCAACUCUAAACCCUAAAUCAUCAACUCUAAAUCCUAAACCACGAAACAUCAACUCUAAACCCUAAACCCCAAAACAUCAACUCUAAACCCUAAACUCUAAACCCUAAACCUUCAAAUCUAAACCCUAAAACAUCAACUCUAAACCCUAAAUCUAAACUCAACACAUCAACUUUAAACCCUAAAUCAUCAUCUCUAAACCCUAAACCCUAAAUCAUCAACUCUAAACCCUAAACCCCGAAAGAUCAACUCUAAACCCUAAACUCUAAACCUUCAAAUCUAAACCCAAAAACAUCAACUCUAAACCCUAAACGUAAACCCUAAACCCUAUAUUUUUCUUAAAUUUGUACCCUAAACCUUUAAAUCUAAAUCCUAAAACAUCAACUCUAAACCCUAAACGUAAACUCUAAACCCUAAAACCCUAAACCUUCAAAUCUAAACCCAAAAACAUCAACUCUAGGGUUUUAGGGUUUAGGGUUUGGGAUUUAGGGUUUAGAGUUUAGGGUUUAUAGUUGAAGAUUUAGGGUUUAGGGUUUAGAGUUGAUGUUUUAGGGUUUAGGGUUAUUUUUAGGGUUUAGGGUUUAGAGUUUACUUUUUAGGGUUUAGGGUUUAGUGUUGAUAGUUUAGGAGUGUCGAUGGUUUAGGGUUUAAAGUUGAAGUUUAGGGUUUAGGGUUUAGAGUUGAUGUGUAAGGGUUUAGAGUUUAGGGUUUAGGGUUUAGAAUUUAGAGUUUAUAGUUGAUGUUUCGACGUUUAGGGUUUAGAGUUGAUGUUUCAGGGUUUAGGGUUCGUAUUUUAAAAAAAAAUAGGGUUUAGGAUUGAUGGUUUAGGGUUUAGUGUUCGUAUUUCAAAAACAAAUAGGGUUUAGGAUUGAUGGUUUAGGGUUUAGAGUUGAGUUUUAGAGUUUAGGGUUUGAAUUUCGAAAUAAUUUCUAAACUCUAAAACUCAACUCUAAACCCUAAACCAUCAAUCCUAAACUCUAUUUUUUCAAAAUACGAACCCUAAACCAUCAAUCCUAAACCUUUUUUUUUUUUGAAAUACAAACCCUAAACCUUGAAACAUCAACUCUAAACCCUAAACCCUAAACAUUCAACUCUAAACCCUAAAACAUCAACUCUAAACCCUAAACACUAAACUUCAACUCUAAACCCUAAACCAUCAACACUAAACCCUAAACUAUCAACACUAAAUCCUAAACCCUAAAUAGAAAAAUCUAAACCCUAAACCCUAUAAAAAUAACCCUAAACCCUAAAACAUCAACCCUAAACCCUAAACCCUAAACCUUCAACUCUAAACCCUAAACUCUAAACCCUAAAUUCUAAACCCUAAAUCGUACAGUUGAUGUUUUAGGGUUUAAAACAUGAACUAGAACCGGGAUUUUAGGACUUGAAUGGAUCGAUUCGUGUCAGUGGAAUGCUAGAAUAUGGAUUACGGAUCGAUUCAACCGAUUGUUAGGCUUAGCAAAUCAAAAUUGCUUCGUAUGAGUUUUUGCAGGUUCCCGCGAAGGAGAAAUCAAUCAUUGAUACACAACUUUCAUCGAUCGAUUGUCACACCGAAUAUCGAUCGAUCUCGCACCAAGCCAUCGAUCCGAACUGAAUUCCUAUUUUUGUUUAUGAUUUUUGGUUGCAGAUGUAUGAAAGGAGAACGAAGCGGAGGUUCGACGUAGGCGGCAGUAGCACAGCUCUACCACCAUCACCGGUUCGGGACCAGGACCCUCGCCACGCGAACGCGAAGACGAACCCAUACCGCUCUUUGACUGUUUCCAUGACACGCGCAAAGCAGCGAAGAGCUUGAAAUGCAGAAACCGCGCAAUAUCAGACUCGUGGGACGACUAUGACAACAUAUUCUUCAACGAGUGGCUGAGGGUUUCUAACAAGCCAACAUGAUUCGUCGACCCGGACGUGAUUCGCUCGCUCGGCAUCAGAUCAGACCUCGAGGACAUGUUCAUGGAUCUGGGUAUGGGAAACAUGGCCACCAACCCACAGGUCCUCUACCCGGAGCUGGUCCGUCAGUCCAUGGCCACGGUGAAGGUCUACUACUGCAACGAGAGGGCAAAGCGAGCGAGCGAGGGCACCUUGACAUUCUUCAUCCGUGGCAUCCGUUACAGAGUCUCUCUCUCGACAUUCUGCACUAUCUACGGGUUCCAGAACGCAGAGCUCGAGCACAUUGUAGUACCCGGUUUUGAAGGGAGAUCUGCGUUUUGGGGACACAUAGCUACAUGCUUCUUCGACUCGGCCUCAGCUCUUCAGACAGACAUCCGUCACCCGACUCUACGAUACUUCAUGAAGGUCCUUGCCAACACUUUUUUGUGCAAGAUGGAACCUAGUAAGGUUCUGGAACAGGAGCUCACAUUGGUCUAUUACGCGGUUAAGAGCUUGGUUCCCUUGGAGGGCAUCGAGGAGCCCGCAGACGACGAGUUUCCCAACCUCGGAGCCAUUUUUGCUGAGCAUCUAGUCAAGGUCAAGAUGUGGCCGUUCCAGUCACCGGGGAAGAAGAAGGAGAUGGUUGGGAGUCUACUUACACCAAUCUUCAUACACUGCGAAGUACCGCUAGAUGAUGCUGCGAUGGACGACCAUAAAAUCUACAUGGAUGCAGCUCACCUCACAAGCGCACAGUGGCUCAAGGACAACCGUUACUGGAAUUGGAAAAUUAAUGAAAACGAUAAAAAGGUAAUUUGUCAUUUUAAAUGAAACAUUUUUGUGAUAUUGGGUUUUAGAGUCUAGAUUGGGAAGAAAAAGUUGAUAUAUGGCUAUUGAAGGUCAUUUCUCUAUACGUAAUUUAUUUUAUUGAUAUGAUCUUCAUAUUUAAAAUUUUAAUCUUACUAAUAUAUAUUUUGUUUUAAAUUAAGACAUUUUUUAUUUUUAUAAUAAUUUAUAGAUAAGAUCUUGAUAUUUAAAAUUAUUGCUCGUUACCUUCAACAUGUAUGUAGAAUAUCAAAUCCUAUAGGAUCUCCUAAAACCUACAAACUUACUAUAUUUUAAGAAGUUAUUAGAUCUUGAUCAGCACAUCCGUGAAUGUUUUAUUUUUUUGUUCUAAAAUAUUCUAAGAAUUAUUAGAUCUUGAUCUUAAAAAUUAUUGACAUAAAUUGUAAUGUUACAUGAUAGAAACAUUUAAAGUUGCGACCUCUAAAAAGUAGUUUAAAUUAAAAAAAAAAUCACACAUGUAAUAAGUAAUGAUUUAUGUGUUUAAUAAAUAAGAUAUUUAUUUUAAAAUUUAAAUAGAAAUAUAUAUUUCUUUCCAACAAAAUCUUUUUUAAAUCUUGGUCAAAUGUAUUUUGGGAAAUUGCCAAAAAUGCAAUUUUCAAAGUACCAGUUUUCAUGUUUAUACUAACCACUUUUACCCUCAUCUUAAAUGAAGGGUAAAAAACAUUUAUAACCCUUUGAUUAACUUUCACAAAAAAAAACAUAUAUUAACUAAUCUAAACUUAAAACAUCAAUUCUAAACCAUAAAUCAUCAACUCUAAACCCUAAACCAUGAAACAUAAUCUCUAAACCCUAAACCCCGAAACAUCAACUUUAAACCCUAAACCUUCAAAUCUAAACCCUAAAAUAUCAACUCUAAACCCUAAAUAUAAACCCUAAACCCUAAAUGUAAACUUAAAAUAUCAACUCUAAACCCUAAAUCAUCAACUCUAAACCCUAAACCAUGAAACAUCAAAUCUAAACCCUAAACCCCGAAACAUCAACUCUAAACCCUAAACCCUAAACCUUCAAAUCUAAACCCUAAAACAUCAACUCUAAACCCUAAACGUAAACCUUAAACCCUAUAUUUUUCUGAAAUUCG